This 73-nucleotide transfer RNA is filed under the name Pholis gunnellus (rock gunnel). RNAcentral describes it as "tRNA-Asp". It matches the Rfam family "tRNA". Rfam says of the family: Transfer RNA (tRNA) molecules are approximately 80 nucleotides in length. Their secondary structure includes four short double-helical elements and three loops (D, anti-codon, and T loops). Further hydrogen bonds mediate the characteristic L-shaped molecular structure. tRNAs have two regions of fundamental functional importance: the anti-codon, which is responsible for specific mRNA codon recognition, and the 3' end, to which the tRNAs corresponding amino acid is attached (by aminoacyl-tRNA synthetases). tRNAs cope with the degeneracy of the genetic code in two manners: having more than one tRNA (with a specific anti-codon) for a particular amino acid; and 'wobble' base-pairing, i.e. permitting non-standard base-pairing at the 3rd anti-codon position. The record is from RNAcentral. Lineage: Eukaryota; Metazoa; Chordata; Actinopteri; Perciformes; Pholidae. RNAcentral also lists the same sequence under 3 other names.
AAGACACUAGUAAAAAGGUACAUUACGCCGCCUUGUCGAGGCAGAAUUGUGGGUUAAAUUCCCGCGUGUCUUG